RNAcentral lists this non-coding RNA (45 nucleotides) under Schistosoma curassoni. The record is from RNAcentral. Lineage: Eukaryota; Metazoa; Platyhelminthes; Trematoda; Strigeidida; Schistosomatidae.
ACCCAGUUGAAGAGUCCCAAGUAGAACGAAACGCGCUUCUUGGCU